AUGUCGUCCAGGUUCGCCGGUGUAUCCGUCUUGGCCGGCGGCGAGCUGUGCCCUUCCACAGCAUCGUCCUUCCUCACCAGCACGGACUGGGGGUACCACCUGCUUGUGGUCCAAGACUACUCGCAUACCAAGCAAGCCACUCCCACCAUCGAGUGGAUCAGCUCUCGUCCUUUCAUGGUAGGAGGCCAUAAAUGGUGCAUCGACUACUUUCCUAACGGCUACACGGAGAGUUGUGCCGACUUCAGGCUGGUUGUAAUUGGUAGUAUCAUAAUGGAACCGGGGCAGGAGUCCUUUUCCUCUAAAAAAAAGUUCAAUGUCAGUUUCAUCGACGAGGCGGAGAAGUGCAAGCCAAUGUACAUUUCGGAAACUGGAACAUUCAAUUCCCACUCUGAGUCCAUGAUGGGCUACAACAUGUUCAUGAAAAAAGAUGUCCUUGAACAAUCAUCGCAUCUAAUGAAUGAUUGUUUCACCAUCCAGUGUGACAUCAUGUUGUUCAGCUCCAAGGAUGCCGGUGGCGAUAAGGUGCCCCUGCCUGAAAUAGACCAACAUUUAAACAAUAUCCUUCAAACUAAGGUGGGUGCUGAUGUGACAUUUGAGGUCAGCGGCGAGAUGUUCGCUGCACACCGAGGUGUGCUUGCAGCCCGAUCUAAACUUUUAAUGGCACAACUCUUUGGCCCCAUGAAGGAGGGCACUACUACAUCCUGUGUCAUACAGAUCAAAGACAUGGGAGCAAAAGUGUUCAGGGCUCUGCUUAGCUUCAUCUACACAGACUGA
This 774-nucleotide ribosomal RNA is filed under the name Triticum aestivum (bread wheat). Its description in RNAcentral is "partial small subunit ribosomal RNA". The record is from RNAcentral. Lineage: Eukaryota; Viridiplantae; Streptophyta; Magnoliopsida; Poales; Poaceae.